GACGAACGCUGGCGGCGUGCCUAACACAUGCAAGUCGAGCGGAGUUGACAAGAGGAAGUUUUCGGAUGGAAUCUUGCCAGCUUAGCGGCGGACGGGUGAGUAACGCGUGAGCGACCAACCUUGCACAGGGGGAUAACGGACCGAAAGGUUCACUAAUACCGCAUGAGACCACGGUGUUGCAUGACACAGAGGUCAAAGGAGCAAUCCGGUGCAAGACGGGCUCGCGUCCGAUUAGGUAGUUGGUGGGGUAAUGGCCCACCAAGCCUAUGAUCGGUAGCCGACCUGAGAGGGUGAUCGGCCACAUUGGAACUGAGAUACGGUCCAAACUCCUACGGGAGGCAGCAGUGGGGAAUAUUGGGCAAUGGGGGAAACCCUGACCCAGCAACGCCGCGUGAAGGAAGAAGGUUUUCGGAUUGUAAACUUCUGUCCUUGGUGAAGAGAAGAAGACGGUAGCCAAGGAGGAAGCCCCGGCUAACUACGUGCCAGCAGCCGCCGUAA
Molecule: ribosomal RNA, 498 nt
Filed under: uncultured bacterium
Lineage: Bacteria
Description: partial 16S ribosomal RNA
Rfam family: Bacterial small subunit ribosomal RNA
Source: RNAcentral